Long non-coding RNA from Mus musculus (house mouse), 410 nucleotides. RefSeq annotates it as predicted gene, 52699. The transcript is spliced from 3 exons. The record is from RefSeq and is a predicted model, not a curated record. Lineage: Eukaryota; Metazoa; Chordata; Mammalia; Rodentia; Muridae.
GAUAAUGGACUGAAACUCUGAACCUGUUACCACACCAGUAGCUGGAUUUUUGAAAGACCAAUCUGAGUCCUUGAACUCAUUGAAAUCUACAGUAGAAUUCCAACUUGAGUUCGGACUGACCCUGACUGUCUGUCUCACCACCACUACCACCAGCAACAGCAUCACAUCUGAGAUCUGCAUCCUUGAAGAGACCAUAUUUUGAGGAUCAUGGCACUGACAAGUACCAUGCUCUUUUGAAUCGAUUAUGCCCACUCACAGAAGAUGUGAAAGCCUACCAGUGAUAUUCACAACCGAAAGAAAUACCAGGUAGCUCUGCCUGGUUUACCCACACUCCCCUUCUACCCUGUUUGUACCCCAAGAUAAUUUUCGUCCCAACUCAGACCUUCACUUUCUCUUAACUCUUCCCCCUU